This 1123-nucleotide small RNA is filed under the name Arabidopsis thaliana (thale cress). Its description in RNAcentral is "ATSL083320". The record is from RNAcentral. Lineage: Eukaryota; Viridiplantae; Streptophyta; Magnoliopsida; Brassicales; Brassicaceae.
AAAAAGAAUAGUGACACUAUAUUUGGAGUAUCACUAUUCAAUACUCUAAAUUUGAAGUUUCAUCUUUUUAUUUGCAUUUAAGUCCCUAAAAUUCAAUGUUUCAUAAAUAAUCGUACAAAUUACUAUGUUUAUCAUUUGAGAAUAUUACGUAAUUAGACACUUUUUGGAAACUUAAUGCCGAUUAAGGCACUUUAAAAAGAUUGGGCACUUUUCUAAGCCAAAUUGUCCAAUUUGCCCUUCUAACUAUAACUUCCUCUCGUGAUAAUAUUUUUUGACUUAUAUCUCUCAUUCUUCUCUCUCUUCUCUUUCUUUUUUCUCACUUUAUCGAAAAAUAAACAAAAUCAAGCAGAACAAAAAAACAACUUUUCUCAUUAUUUUGCUAUUUCUUUAUCUUCUCAUCACAAGUCAAUUCACCAAUUCGUUCUCCUAUUUUGAUCUUCUCGAAUUCCUAUGGUUUCAUUGGAAUCUGAGAUUCAGUUUCGGCUAAUUGAAUGUACUCGCUUCAUUAGUCAAGUUUUGGCACUGGUGGAGUACAAAAACGGCAGGUGUGUAAAUGACGAAAGCGAGUACAUUUAACGACAGAAGAAACAGCCAGUGAUUCGCGACAGGAGAUUUGGGUCUAGAUCUAAAAGUCAUUACUUUAUUCGAUGUCUCUUCUUAGUUGUUUCUCCAACGGAUUUGUUAUGGUUUCUUGCGACGGUUGUCUUUUAUAUGGUGAUGAAGUGUCUGUUGGUUGGUGGAGGCGAUCGAGUUGUUGGUGGCGACUGAGAGAGCGUUAUGACUUAUUCAUCAUCUUGUUCUAUAUAUGUAUAACUUAUGUGUUGGUAUAAACAACCAUAUGGAUUGCACAUCUUGGACACACAUCAAUGGACAAUGUUGCAUUUGUUUACCAUUAAUGUGUCAUCGCUGGAUAUGGAUCCAUUAUAUAAUUAUGAUAAUGUCCAUACUCUAUACACAAGUGAAUAUUGGUCAAAGAAAAAUGGACGGUGUAUUUCUGUUGAGAUUGAGUUCUUGAUUAAAUAUGUAAGAUAAAAUGCUUCAAUGAGAACAUGAAUAAGAAGAAGAAGCUCAAGCAAAAGAAGAAUAUGCAUGGGAGAAGAUGAAAUAAUAAGUGAUUGGGCUA